Long non-coding RNA from Silurus meridionalis, 105 nucleotides. RefSeq lists it as uncharacterized. NCBI's taxonomy places the organism in Eukaryota, Metazoa, Chordata, Actinopteri, Siluriformes, Siluridae. The record is from RefSeq and is a predicted model, not a curated record. The transcript has 3 exons.
UAAUAACAUAAGCCUGAAGAUUACUGCUAAUGAUGCAGUCAGAUCCUAAGUUUGGCAUAUCCAGGAGCAUAUCCUGCGGUGAACACAGAUGAACCACUGAAGGCA